Molecule: long non-coding RNA, 170 nt
Organism: Sinocyclocheilus grahami
Lineage: Eukaryota; Metazoa; Chordata; Actinopteri; Cypriniformes; Cyprinidae
Exons: 3
Source: RefSeq, a predicted model, not a curated record
GAAACUCAUACCGGUUUGGAACAACUUGAGGAUGGUCUUUGGAGAUUGCAUUAAAGUUGCAUUAAAACCCUGACGUCCUCCUUCAUUGCCAUACAAAGUGGGUUGGAACAAAUGUCAUUCUGUAUUUGGAGGAGGAGGAGGAGCAACAAAGGCGAUACCCUCAUGUCCUG